CAGCCGCCGCGGGAAUACGAAGGGUGCAAGCGUUACUCGGAAUUACUGGGCGUAAAGCGUGCGUAGGUGGUGGUUUAAGUCCGUUGUGAAAGCCCUGGGCUCAACCUGGGAAUUGCAGUGGAUACUGGGUCACUAGAGUGUGGUAGAGGAUAGUGGAAUUUCCGGUGUAGCAGUGAAAUGCGUAGAGAUCGGAAGGAACAUCUGUGGCGAAGGCGACUAUCUGGGCCAACACUGACACUGUGGCACGAAAGCGUGGGGAGCAAACAGGAUUAGAUACCCCUGUAGUCCCUGUCUCUUAUAC
This 301-nucleotide ribosomal RNA is filed under the name uncultured bacterium. RNAcentral's name for it is "partial 16S ribosomal RNA". It matches the Rfam family "Bacterial small subunit ribosomal RNA", at positions 509 to 807 of the family's 1533-position model. The record is from RNAcentral.